Molecule: long non-coding RNA, 2099 nt
Organism: Girardinichthys multiradiatus
Lineage: Eukaryota; Metazoa; Chordata; Actinopteri; Cyprinodontiformes; Goodeidae
Exons: 3
Source: RefSeq, a predicted model, not a curated record
UCUUUGGUAUGUCUUCAAACAAACUGUCACAAUGGAAAUUCAGAAGAUUAGAAAAAACAUUAUUUUAUGAAAAUAAUAUUUUAAAGAAUUAUUGCUGAGUCAGAAAUCAACCUUUUGGAUAAUUGAUUCUAAGUGUAGUUUAAUUUGCCAUCCCAAUUUUAGUAAAAUAAUAUUUAAGGAAAUAUUAUUUUAUGGAUUGGAACGUCUAUUAACUCUUAUAAAAUGGCGACAAGUUGUAUGUAAAUAUUUGACUUGCUUGGCACUUGCAUUAGCUGUUAGCGGUUGUAGCUAACAAAGGAAAGCUUAUAGCUUGUUCACAACUUUAAAUUCAAACAUGAACAGUAUAUAGAACCACCAUUAACGUACAAAAUAUUAAGAUGCCUGUGAGCGCUGGCGGCGCGUAAUGGCCGAUCUGUAAUUAAAACCACUUAUUAAAUAAAGUUUGUGUAGAUCCUCAUUAAACGAAACCUGAGCCUGACGCUCCCAUUACCUCCCACAUGUCUCUCAUCCCGACAAAAAAUAUAUAAAACAAAUUCUCAGAGAUGUCUUGCUUCAAAAUGUUUACUUAAUGAACCGAACAUGUACAACAAAAGAGGAAAAUAAGGAAAAGCGACUUAUCCACAUGUUAGUUAAACAAAAAGGAAGGAGGGAGGUCAAAAAACUGUUAGGCUUCACUCCCCAUCUUUUCAGUCUUCCACCUCGACCUUCCUUCUUUCCCCUAGGCUCCACCCACAUCAUCUGACCAAAAUAAGCAUCUUACCAGCCUCAUAACUAACAAACACCCUGCAUAACACAUAGUUUAGGCUCCUACAUCACCAGCCCCUAAUUGUUAACAAUAUCUUUGGAACAAUUACUUAAACUCUUAUUCAAAAUGUCUAAACUAUUUAAAGAAAAAAAAAAAACAUUCAAACAAUGUGUCCUAUCCCAUAAUGUCCAUAAUGAAGCAUUGACCUUCGAAAGACCUUAUUCUUCUUCAGAUUCUUGAAGGAGACACAGCUUGGUCACCGGGCGGCAAAGCUCAUUGGUCUUGGUCCUUACUUUAACUUGAUGGACAAAGCCUUUACUGUCAGGAAACGUCUCUGUUACUUUCCCCAGAAGCCAGGAGUUUCUGGGUGAGCUGUCAUCAACAAUAAGCACCACAUCACCAACACGCAAGUUUCUUCCUGAUGUGGACCAUCGAAGUCGUUCUUGGAGUUGGGUAAGAUAUUCCUUGCACCAUCGUUUCCAGAAGACAUCCAAAAGAUACCGGACCUGUCUCCAUCUGCGUCUAACAUACUGAUCAUCUUUGUUGAACACUCCAGGUUGUAAAUCAGGUUUGACUUUGAGUAAAAGCAGAUGAUUAGGUGUUAACGCUUCUAAAUCAUUCAGAUCUGAGGAUGCUGUUGUUAUGGGCCUGCUGUUCAAGAUUGCUUCAGCCUCACACAGCAAGAUUCUGCAGGAUCCUUUUGGCAGGCAGUACCACAGGAACAAUGAAUCCCAAAGGAUCAAAGACUGAACUAACCAGGGACAGCAGACCUCUUCUUGAGGUCCAAAAGGCGCUGGUUAUGUGGCCCGGUCUGGCACAACGCGGUAUGCACGAACCACGAAAUGUGGCAGCUACUCUCAGUAGUAGCUAUGUGGGUAGCCCCCAGUGCCCUGACUGGCACCCAGGAAGACAUGCACUACUGUGAUUCCUGUGUCUCCUCUUCAGCGGGGAGGAAGGAAGCCGCCUCACUCGACGUGAUUUUGUCUCUGCUGAGAACACCCUGGCUCUGAUGGCAAUCAUUAAAAUUACAAGAAAUAAAGGCUUGAAAUAUUUUGCUCUAUGUGAUAUGAAUCUAUAUAAUGCAAGUUUAACUUUCUGAAAUGUGGACAAAAGAGAUAUAACUGAAGCUCCUUAAAUGGCUUCGUUUCACUUUCUGGACUUUCACUUUCUGUGGCAAAAAAGUUUUUCUUCAUAUUCAAAUAUUUUGAGAUGUACCUGUAUGUACUAAUGGAUAGUAGUACUGGUUUAGAGCUUGUCAGAGCUAUGUUUAUUUCCUUGUUAAAGCCACUAAGGGAGCUACUGUGGCCAUUAAGUGUUUCAUGCAAACCUCUUUUGUUGAAUAAAAAUAACUUUA